CUCGGGGGAGGGGGUCCCACAGCCUGGAUUGCAAGAGGGCGCAAGCCAGCCUGAGGGACACCACAGGUGCACG
RNAcentral lists this microRNA precursor (73 nucleotides) under Myotis lucifugus (little brown bat). RNAcentral's name for it is "mir-9193 microRNA precursor family". It matches the Rfam family "mir-9193 microRNA precursor family". The record is from Rfam by way of RNAcentral. Lineage: Eukaryota; Metazoa; Chordata; Mammalia; Chiroptera; Vespertilionidae.